AGGCACUGAGAGGGAGGGUCCAAAGCUGGGCUUUGAUAUUCUAUUUGCUCUGUAUCAUCCAAAUUUAGAUGCCAAGUUAACUUUGUUUUAUUAUGCGGAUAAGACUGACUUAAGAGAUUAACAUAUUCCCUCGUGAGUUGAGACGAGUUCUAUUCCCCACGCAGCACUCGCAUUCUUCUUCUUUUUUCUUUUCUUUUUUUUCCUUUUUUGUUGAAAAAAUAUAAGUUAUGUUUGUACAAUGUAGGAACCCACCACAUCCUUAUUGGAGAUCCUGAGUGACAGUUGAAGGGAGUAGUUACCGAGUUGGUGAGCUUCCUCAUCUUAUUUACAAGAUAAGUAUUCUAACACAAUAUAAUAUACAUCUCAAUCUAAACUAACUGGAGUGUUAAAGUUUUAUUGUAGGUAUUAUUAAUAUCACCAUUCACCACAUGUCCAAGUCUUAGUUAUGUUCUGUAAUCAUUGUAGGGAUGGACAUAGUAUAUCUUGGAAGACUUGCAUCACGUAGAUAAGUUAAUCUCUCCAUUAACAAAAUAGUCUCUGGAAGGGUAGUCUUUCAUUCAAUUAAGUUGAUCCGUCCAUUAAGUCUUUUUACAAUAACUUUAACAUCAUGCGUGACACAUUUGUAUCGUCUAUGUAUACAAAAG
This 644-nucleotide long non-coding RNA is filed under the name Glycine max (soybean). Its description in RNAcentral is "long non-coding RNA (GMAX_LNC001686)". The record is from RNAcentral. Lineage: Eukaryota; Viridiplantae; Streptophyta; Magnoliopsida; Fabales; Fabaceae.